This 2669-nucleotide ribosomal RNA is filed under the name Escherichia coli 2-316-03_S3_C1. RNAcentral's name for it is "bacterial LSU rRNA". It matches the Rfam family "Bacterial large subunit ribosomal RNA". Lineage: Bacteria; Pseudomonadati; Pseudomonadota; Gammaproteobacteria; Enterobacterales; Enterobacteriaceae. The record is from RNAcentral.
CCCCCAGUAGCGGCGAGCGAACGGGGAGGAGCCCAGAGCCUGAAUCAGUGUGUGUGUUAGUGGAAGCGUCUGGAAAGGCGCGCGAUACAGGGUGACAGCCCCGUACACAAAAAUGCACAUGCUGUGAGCUCGAUGAGUAGGGCGGGACACGUGGUAUCCUGUCUGAAUAUGGGGGGACCAUCCUCCAAGGCUAAAUACUCCUGACUGACCGAUAGUGAACCAGUACCGUGAGGGAAAGGCGAAAAGAACCCCGGCGAGGGGAGUGAAAAAGAACCUGAAACCGUGUACGUACAAGCAGUGGGAGCACGCUUAGGCGUGUGACUGCGUACCUUUUGUAUAAUGGGUCAGCGACUUAUAUUCUGUAGCAAGGUUAACCGAAUAGGGGAGCCGAAGGGAAACCGAGUCUUAACUGGGCGUUAAGUUGCAGGGUAUAGACCCGAAACCCGGUGAUCUAGCCAUGGGCAGGUUGAAGGUUGGGUAACACUAACUGGAGGACCGAACCGACUAAUGUUGAAAAAUUAGCGGAUGACUUGUGGCUGGGGGUGAAAGGCCAAUCAAACCGGGAGAUAGCUGGUUCUCCCCGAAAGCUAUUUAGGUAGCGCCUCGUGAAUUCAUCUCCGGGGGUAGAGCACUGUUUCGGCAAGGGGGUCAUCCCGACUUACCAACCCGAUGCAAACUGCGAAUACCGGAGAAUGUUAUCACGGGAGACACACGGCGGGUGCUAACGUCCGUCGUGAAGAGGGAAACAACCCAGACCGCCAGCUAAGGUCCCAAAGUCAUGGUUAAGUGGGAAACGAUGUGGGAAGGCCCAGACAGCCAGGAUGUUGGCUUAGAAGCAGCCAUCAUUUAAAGAAAGCGUAAUAGCUCACUGGUCGAGUCGGCCUGCGCGGAAGAUGUAACGGGGCUAAACCAUGCACCGAAGCUGCGGCAGCGACACUGUGUGUUGUUGGGUAGGGGAGCGUUCUGUAAGCCUGUGAAGGUGUACUGUGAGGUAUGCUGGAGGUAUCAGAAGUGCGAAUGCUGACAUAAGUAACGAUAAAGCGGGUGAAAAGCCCGCUCGCCGGAAGACCAAGGGUUCCUGUCCAACGUUAAUCGGGGCAGGGUGAGUCGACCCCUAAGGCGAGGCCGAAAGGCGUAGUCGAUGGGAAACAGGUUAAUAUUCCUGUACUUGGUGUUACUGCGAAGGGGGGACGGAGAAGGCUAUGUUGGCCGGGCGACGGUUGUCCCGGUUUAAGCGUGUAGGCUGGUUUUCCAGGCAAAUCCGGAAAAUCAAGGCUGAGGCGUGAUGACGAGGCACUACGGUGCUGAAGCAACAAAUGCCCUGCUUCCAGGAAAAGCCUCUAAGCAUCAGGUAACAUCAAAUCGUACCCCAAACCGACACAGGUGGUCAGGUAGAGAAUACCAAGGCGCUUGAGAGAACUCGGGUGAAGGAACUAGGCAAAAUGGUGCCGUAACUUCGGGAGAAGGCACGCUGAUAUGUAGGUGAAGCGACUUGCUCGUGGAGCUGAAAUCAGUCGAAGAUACCAGCUGGCUGCAACUGUUUAUUAAAAACACAGCACUGUGCAAACACGAAAGUGGACGUAUACGGUGUGACGCCUGCCCGGUGCCGGAAGGUUAAUUGAUGGGGUUAGCGGUAACGCGAAGCUCUUGAUCGAAGCCCCGGUAAACGGCGGCCGUAACUAUAACGGUCCUAAGGUAGCGAAAUUCCUUGUCGGGUAAGUUCCGACCUGCACGAAUGGCGUAAUGAUGGCCAGGCUGUCUCCACCCGAGACUCAGUGAAAUUGAACUCGCUGUGAAGAUGCAGUGUACCCGCGGCAAGACGGAAAGACCCCGUGAACCUUUACUAUAGCUUGACACUGAACAUUGAGCCUUGAUGUGUAGGAUAGGUGGGAGGCUUUGAAGUGUGGACGCCAGUCUGCAUGGAGCCGACCUUGAAAUACCACCCUUUAAUGUUUGAUGUUCUAACGUGGACCCGUGAUCCGGGUUGCGGACAGUGUCUGGUGGGUAGUUUGACUGGGGCGGUCUCCUCCUAAAGAGUAACGGAGGAGCACGAAGGUUGGCUAAUCCUGGUCGGACAUCAGGAGGUUAGUGCAAUGGCAUAAGCCAGCUUGACUGCGAGCGUGACGGCGCGAGCAGGUGCGAAAGCAGGUCAUAGUGAUCCGGUGGUUCUGAAUGGAAGGGCCAUCGCUCAACGGAUAAAAGGUACUCCGGUGAUAACAGGCUGAUACCGCCCAAGAGUUCAUAUCGACGGCGGUGUUUGGCACCUCGAUGUCGGCUCAUCACAUCCUGGGGCUGAAGUAGGUCCCAAGGGUAUGGCUGUUCGCCAUUUAAAGUGGUACGCGAGCUGGGUUUAGAACGUCGUGAGACAGUUCGGUCCCUAUCUGCCGUGGGCGCUGGAGAACUGAGGGGGGCUGCUCCUAGUACGAGAGGACCGGAGUGGACGCAUCACUGGUGUUCGGGUUGUCAUGCCAAUGGCACUGCCCGGUAGCUAAAUGCGGAAGAGAUAAGUGCUGAAAGCAUCUAAGCACGAAACUUGCCCCGAGAUGAGUUCUCCCUGACUCCUUGAGAGUCCUGAAGGAACGUUGAAGACGACGACGUUGAUAGGCCGGGUGUGUAAGCGCAGCGAUGCGUUGAGCUAACCGGUACUAAUGAACCGUGAGGCUUAACCU